RNAcentral lists this ribosomal RNA (168 nucleotides) under Triticum aestivum (bread wheat). RNAcentral describes it as "partial small subunit ribosomal RNA". Lineage: Eukaryota; Viridiplantae; Streptophyta; Magnoliopsida; Poales; Poaceae. The record is from RNAcentral.
CUGCUUCUACUUUCUGUAUGGAGCUGGGAGCGUCUGCCUGUUGGACGCCCGAAGAACGUCAGGUUUGAUCCUUGGUAUGCAGAUGAACAUGAUGAAUUACGGCGCCCCACGUGGGCUUACAAGUGGGAUAUUGUUUCCGAGAUGGCAAACGAUGUCAAUCUCAUGUAG